RNAcentral lists this ribosomal RNA (253 nucleotides) under uncultured bacterium. RNAcentral describes it as "partial 16S ribosomal RNA". It matches the Rfam family "Bacterial small subunit ribosomal RNA", at positions 524 to 776 of the family's 1533-position model. The record is from RNAcentral.
UACGUAGGGGGCUAGCGUUGUCCGGAAUUAUUGGGCGUAAAGCGCGUGUAGGCGGCCCGUUAUGUCGGCUGUGAAAGCCCAUGGCUCAACCAUGGAAGUGCAGCCGAAACUGGCGGGCUAGAGUCCUGGAGAGGGUGGCGGAAUGCCCAGUGUAGAGGUGAAAUUCGUAGAUAUUGGGUAGAACACCGGUGGCGAAGGCGGCCACCUGGACAGCGACUGACGCUAAGACGCGAAAGCGUGGGGAGCGAACAGG